UGGGGAAUUUUGGACAAUGGGCGAAAGCCUGAUCCAGCAAUGCCGCGUGUGUGAAGAAGGCCUUCGGGUUGUAAAGCACUUUUGUCCGGAAAGAAAUCCUUGGCUCUAAUACAGUCGGGGGAUGACGGUACCGGAAGAAUAAGCACCGGCUAACUACGUGCCAGCAGCCGCGGUAAUACGUAGGGUGCAAGCGCUAAUCGGAAUUACUGGGCGUAAAGCGUGCGCAGGCGGUUUGCUAAGACCGAUGUGAAAUCCCCGGGCUCAACCUGGGAACUGCAUUGGUGACUGGCAGGCUAGAGUAUGGCAGAGGGGGGUAGAAUUCCACGUGUAGCAGUGAAAUGCGUAGAGAUGUGGAGGAAUACCGAUGGCGAAGGCAGCCCCCUGGGCCAAUACUGACGCUCAUGCACGAAAGCGUGGGGAGCAAACAGGAUUAGAUACCCUGGUAGUCCACGCCCUAAAACGAUGUCAACUAGUUGUUGGGGAUUCAUUUCCUUAGUAACGUAGCUAACGCGUGAAGUUGACCGCCUGGGGAGUACGGUCGCAAGAUUAAAACUCAAAUGAAUUGACGGGGUCAUAGCUG
Molecule: ribosomal RNA, 580 nt
Filed under: uncultured bacterium
Lineage: Bacteria
Description: partial 16S ribosomal RNA
Rfam family: Bacterial small subunit ribosomal RNA
Source: RNAcentral